UUUUUUUUUUUUAUUCAACACAUGGAAGUGUAGUCAGACUGGAAUGGAGUGAAAGGUAUCUUUUUAUAAAAAGCCUAUUCAGCAAGAAGAUGGCGAAUCAAGCCGACUACCACCAGAAGACACUGCCUCUACAAUCCUGUUCAUAUAAACAUUAUGACUAUGAUGAUAGAAAAAAAAAAAAUCUAUUCCAUACUGGAGUUUUGGUUGUUUACAGAAAAACACUUGGACUUUUGUGGGUGCGUGUUUCCCCUUUUUUGGAGGGUGGGAUUACUCAAUUCAGAAAUAUUUUGUGAGGAGGUGUUGUAAUCACAUGACAGCAUGUCCCACCACCUUGUUGUGAAAUGGGUGUGGCAUACAGAAAGUCUCCAUACUUUUGACUUUGGGGAUUGGGUGCUGAGACAAGCAGUUAUUAUAAAGCUGACCAUAUUUUGUUUACUGAAUUUGUUGAAUUUUUGUUUACUUUUUGCCUAUUUUUUUUUUUUUCUUCAGUGGAUUUAUAUACUUUUUUUCAUCCAGAGGAAAAGGUGUGUUCCUGGAAAAGAAAAAAAGAAAAAAAAUCAAAAACAGCACAGACCAUUUAUUUUCGGUACCUUGAAAUGCACGAAUGCGAUUGUUAAUGCUUUAAGAGUUUUCUUCCCCCAAGUAUCUAGAACUGGUCUCUAGACUGAUUUCGUUUUAGAAAAGUUGAAUGGAAAAAAAACAAAAAUUACAAAAAAUGGACGUCUGCAACGUGCUGGAAAGUACAGAAGAACAUGAGGGACAUUCAUGACCUCAGCUCUGUCCUCAUCGUCUGGGGACUGUUAUUAGCCUUUCUUUUCCAUAUGGGCGAAGGGAGUAUCAAAGCAGUCGACGUCGUCCUUCUGAAGAUAACGAGCGAACGAUCACUGCCUCAAUGCUCUCACUAUGCACUUUUCACACACUCAAAACUGUGAGGAACCUGUGGGGACACAUAGAGGAAGACAGGGGGUGCUGUUGAAGCAUGGCUGACCGGACACUUCAAAUCCAGCUAAAGCCCCUCUAGUGAGAACCUAAACAUGGCAUGAUGUUCCCUCUUUAUUAAAAAAUGUACAUAAGUGAUUUUUUUUUUUUUUUUUUUUUAAACUCCGCAAUUCUUCGGACUGAACAUAAUCUUGAACAUAUACCAAUGAAGUAGGCUAAUAAGACAUCAGACAUUUUGAAUGUUGAGGAAUAUGUUCUACUCCUUGUUCGGCCUUUUGGAGAUUUCCUGUGGAUGCACUCAAGAUGCAGGAAAGAACAUUUUAUAAACUGCUUGUUGAUGGCUGAUGAACAGAGACAAUUCCAGCGUAAUCUGUAGAAUAACUGAGGAGUAGACGAGAAUUUAAACAGAGCUUCUGCUCAGCUGUGGAUUAACUUCAACAUGGAGUCACCUGAAACCGCAGCAGCAGAACUGUCUGUCCGACCAGUAUACCAGAUCUUCUGACAAGGACAGUUCCUGGCUUUCUUUUCUCAUUCUUUUUCUUUUAAUCUCUCUCUCUCUCCCUCUCUCUCUCUCUCUCUCUCUCAUUCUCGGAGUAAGACCACCGAUGAUACCUGCCCUUAGACGUCACCUCAUUUUCAGAAUGGUGUGAAGUGACUGCACUGAUAUAAAUGUGCUGUACCACUCUGGCUUGCUGGCACCCUCAGUAGGUGAUCAGCACCCUCAUUGCAUGCCUAUGCAGAGAGCAGGAUACUGGAACUCUGGAACUAUGACAGUCACUACCUGUACAGACCCUUUUGCAUACAUGGCUAACACACACAAAUGCAAGUGGAGGUCGGCUAAGCACACAUGCAAGCAUGGUCAUCAUGUAGUAUCAAACGCAAACUUCACUUCCUUCAGCUGCUGUCUUGAUGAAACCGUAUUCAAACAAAGACUUCAUACCCAUGGCCUCUGGCUGCCAUGUAGACUGUAUAUACUGUAUACUGUUUUCCUCUUUGUGUGAUUUUUUUUUUUUUUGUUUUUUUCCAUUUUUUCCUCCUACCUUUUUAGGACAUGCCUUAACUGUACUUUGGAGAGAAAAUAAGUUUAACAUGUUUAGUUAACUUGAUUUUACUCCCAUGUUUUUUCCUGAACUAAAUGAGUCAUUAACUUAAUCAGAGCUUUGGUUGAGGAUUGAGUGUGAUGUGUGUGUAAAACUCUCAUCAGCCCUAAAAUUAACAAGUUUGCAUAGAACCUGGCUAUUUCUCACUAAAUAGUUUAAGGAUUAUUUAUGUUACAGAAGAUGAAGCAUGGUAAAAAAAUAUAAAUAUAUCAGGCAUUGUAUUAAAGCUGUAUUUUGGACUGAUUAGUGGCUUAUGUAGUAGAUUAUAUAGGAAUCAACUGAAAUUACUGUUUAACUUGUGUGGCCCUUUUUGGUCAUUAAUGUUUGAGCUGCAGACAGUGCCAGUGCAAUUUAACAUGACAUGGCAAAAUGGCAUAAUGAUUCACGUGAAAGAAUAGUUCUGGUUUGUAAGGGCAAUGAAAAUUAUUCCCUUUUAUUAUUGGUGGAAAUGAAUGAAAUCCUAGCUUAAUGAGUUUAGGAUGGGAUUGAUCGAAAUGAUAGUUUACCAUGCCUGAGUGUUCCUGUUCAUUAAAGAUCUCUCAUUAUUUCCAAGGACAAAUGUAAGUACAUGUACGCAUGAGGGCUUUGAUCAUAAUUUGACACAAAAUCAUCCUCCAAACCUCCUCUUGAGUAAUGACUGCAGGAAUUUCCGGAUUUUCUAAAAUAUUUCCCAACUCCCAUAGUCUUGCUACAAUGGGAGACGAUCAGUAUUGAGUAGGAAUCUCCUUGUUUUAACAUCAUUUGCAUGUAACUUGUAGUGGAGGUGAUGCAACGAACCAUUUACCUGUUCCCAUUGUUAAGUUUGUCCUGUAGCUAAACUUUUAAAAUCAGAUAACGGUGAAACCUUACUGAAAAAAAUGAUAACAUAGAGAUUAUAAGAGUGUAAAUAGUUUGGGCUUUUCGUUUGAAAAUAUGAAUACUUAAUAAAUGAUUCUCAUAAA
Long non-coding RNA from Silurus meridionalis, 2980 nucleotides. RefSeq lists it as uncharacterized. NCBI's taxonomy places the organism in Eukaryota, Metazoa, Chordata, Actinopteri, Siluriformes, Siluridae. The record is from RefSeq and is a predicted model, not a curated record. The transcript has 2 exons.